RNAcentral lists this transfer RNA (76 nucleotides) under Candidatus Portnoybacteria bacterium CG03_land_8_20_14_0_80_41_10. RNAcentral's name for it is "tRNA-Ala". It matches the Rfam family "tRNA". Rfam says of the family: Transfer RNA (tRNA) molecules are approximately 80 nucleotides in length. RNAcentral also lists the same sequence under 1 other name. Lineage: Bacteria; Candidatus Portnoyibacteriota. The record is from RNAcentral.
GGGCCCAUAGCUCAGCCGGUUUAGAGCGCUUGCGUGGCACGCAAGAGGUUCGUGGGUUCGAAUCCCACUGGGUCCA